UACGGAGGGUCCGAGCGUUAUCCGGAUUUAUUGGGUUUAAAGGGUGCGUAGGCGGUUUUAUAAGUCAGCGGUGAAAUUUUCCGGCUCAACCGGGAGACUGCCGUUGAUACUGUAAGGCUAGGAUAUGGUUGCUGUGGGUGGAAUGUGUGGUGUAGCGGUGAAAUGCUUAGAGAUCACACAGAAUAUCGAUUGCGAAGGCAGCUCACAAAGCCAUUAUUGACGCUGAGGCACGAAAGUGUGGGGAUCAAACAGGAUUAGAUACCCUGGUAGUCCACACUGUAAACGAUGAUAACUCGCUGUCGGCGAUAUAAAGUCGGUGGCCAAGCGAAAGCGAUAAGUUAUCCACCUGGGGAGUACGACCGCAAGGUUGAA
Molecule: ribosomal RNA, 372 nt
Filed under: uncultured bacterium
Lineage: Bacteria
Description: bacterial SSU rRNA
Rfam family: Bacterial small subunit ribosomal RNA
Source: RNAcentral